This 254-nucleotide ribosomal RNA is filed under the name uncultured bacterium. RNAcentral describes it as "partial 16S ribosomal RNA". It matches the Rfam family "Bacterial small subunit ribosomal RNA", at positions 524 to 776 of the family's 1533-position model. The record is from RNAcentral.
CACGUAGGGGGCGAGCGUUGUCCGGAUUCAUUGGGCGUAAAGAGCUCGUAGGCGGCUCAGUAAGUCGGGUGUGAAACCCUCAGGCUCAACCUGGGGACGCCACUCGAUACUGCUGUGGCUAGAGUCCAGUAGGGGAGUGUGGAAUUCCCGGUGUAGCGGUGAAAUUCGUAGAUAUCAAGCGGAACACCGGUGGCGAAGGCGGAUCUCUGGGCCUUACCUGACGCUCAGGCACGAAAGCUAGGGGAGCGAACAGG